CCUACGGGCGGCAGCAGUGAGGAAUAUUGGUCAAUGGACGAGAGUCUGAACCAGCCAAGUAGCGUGAAGGAUGACUGCCCUAUGGGUUGUAAACUUCUUUUAUACAGGAAUAAAACGAGGCACGUGUGCUUUUUUGUAUGUACUUUAUGAAUAAGGAUCGGCUAACUCCGUGCCAGCAGCCGCGGUAAUACGGAGGAUCCGAGCGUUAUCCGGAUUUAUUGGGUUUAAAGGGAGCGUAGGUGGGUUGUUAAGCCAGUUGUGAAAGUUUGCGGCUCAACCGUAAAAUUGCAAUUGAUACUGGCAGUCUUGAGUACAGUGGAGGUAGGCGGAAUUCGUGGUGUAGCGGUGAAAUGCUUAGAUAUCACGAAGAACUCCGAUUGCGAAGGCAGCAUACGGGCGCCCAACUGACGCUGAAGCACGAAAGCGUGGGUAUCGAACAGGAUUAGAUACCCGAGUAGUC
Molecule: ribosomal RNA, 460 nt
Filed under: uncultured bacterium
Lineage: Bacteria
Description: partial 16S ribosomal RNA
Rfam family: Bacterial small subunit ribosomal RNA
Source: RNAcentral